This 255-nucleotide ribosomal RNA is filed under the name Staphylococcus pseudintermedius. RNAcentral describes it as "partial 23S ribosomal RNA". It matches the Rfam family "Bacterial large subunit ribosomal RNA", at positions 262 to 512 of the family's 2925-position model. Lineage: Bacteria; Bacillati; Bacillota; Bacilli; Caryophanales; Staphylococcaceae. The record is from RNAcentral.
GAAGAGCCCAAACCAAUAAGCUUGCUUAUUGGGGUUGUAGGACACUCUGUACGGAGUUACAAAAGAAUUUGUUAGACGAAUAACCUGGAAAGGUUAAUCAUAGAAGGUAAUAAUCCUGUAGUCGAAAACGAAUUCUCUCUUGAGUGGAUCCUGAGUACGACGGAGCACGUGAAAUUCCGUCGGAAUCUGGGAGGACCAUCUCCUAAGGCUAAAUACUCUCUAGUGACCGAUAGUGAACCAGUACCGUGAGGGAAA